This 512-nucleotide ribosomal RNA is filed under the name uncultured Glomus. Its description in RNAcentral is "SSU rRNA". It matches the Rfam family "Eukaryotic small subunit ribosomal RNA", at positions 569 to 1083 of the family's 1831-position model. Lineage: Eukaryota; Fungi; Glomeromycota; Glomeromycetes; Glomerales; Glomeraceae. The record is from RNAcentral.
AGCAGCCGCGGUAAUUCCAGCUCCAAUAGCGUAUAUUAAAGUUGUUGCAGUUAAAAAGCUCGUAGUUGAAUUUCGGGAUCAAUACGUCGGUCGUGCUUCGGUACGUACUGGCGUCAUUGAUUUCUCCCUUCUGACGAACCAUGAUGUCAUUAACUUGGUGUCAUGGGAAAUCAGGACUGUUACUUUGAAAAAAUUAGAGUGUUUAAAGCAGGCUCACGCUUGAAUACAUUAGCAUGGAAUAAUGAAAUAGGACGUUCGAUCCUAUUUUGUUGGUUUUUAGGAUCAACGUAAUGAUUAAUAGGGAUAGUUGGGGGCAUUAGUAUUCAAUUGUCAGAGGUGAAAUUCUUGGAUUUAUUGAAGACUAACUACUGCGAAAGCAUUUGCCAAGGAUGUUUUCAUUAAUCAAGAACGAAAGUUAGGGGAUCGAAGACGAUCAGAUACCGUCGUAGUCUUAACCAUAAACUAUGCCGACUAGGGAUCGGAUGAUGUUAAUUUUUUAAUGACUCAUUCGG